Molecule: ribosomal RNA, 597 nt
Filed under: uncultured bacterium
Lineage: Bacteria
Description: bacterial SSU rRNA
Rfam family: Bacterial small subunit ribosomal RNA
Source: RNAcentral
ACGGCAGCGCGGGGCUAACCUGGCGGCAGUAGUGGCGAACGGGUGAGUAAUAUAUCGGAACGUACCCUGGAGUGGGGGAUAACGUAGCUGAAACGUUACGCUAAUACCGUAUACGACUCUAAGGAUGAAUAGCAGGGGACCGCAAGGCCUUGUGCUCCUGGAGCGACCGAUAUCUGAUUUAGCUAGUUGGUGGGGUAAAGGCCUACCAAGGCAUCGAUCAGUAGCUGGUCUGAGAGGACGACCAGCCACACUGGAACUGAGACACGGUCCAGACUCCUACGGGAGGCCGCCGUGGGGAAUUUUGGACAAUGGGCGCAAGCCUGAUCCAGCUAAUGCCGCGUGAGUGACGAAUGGCCUUCGGGUUGUCCAAGCUCUUUGGUCAGGGCAAGAAACGGGUGGAGCUAAUAUCUCUGCCUAAUGACGGUACCUGAAGCAAUAUGCACCGGCUAACUACGUGCCAGCAGCCGCGGUAAUACGGUAUGGUGCAAGCGUUAAUCGGAAUUUAGCUGGGCGUAAAGCGUGCGCAGGCGGUUUUGUACGUCUGUCGUGAAAUCCCCGGGCUCAACUGGGAAUGGCGAUGGACACUUGCAAGGCUAG